Molecule: long non-coding RNA, 345 nt
Filed under: Coffea arabica (coffee)
Lineage: Eukaryota; Viridiplantae; Streptophyta; Magnoliopsida; Gentianales; Rubiaceae
Description: long non-coding RNA (CARA_LNC004357)
Source: RNAcentral
UAUUAAAUCUAAUACAUUUGAGUGUAUAUCACAUUCAGUAUAAAGUAAAUAGUUUAUCAUUCAAUUUUGAAAGCAAGUUUUAUUUAGAAAAUUCAGUGCCACUUAAUUAAUUCAGAUGUUCAAUUUUUGGUUACCAAACUGAAUAUGCUAAGAUCUGAAUCUCUUAAAUUUAAGUGUUAAAUUGAGUUAUCAAACAAGAUCUUAGUUUCAUUAAUAAGGUUAAUAACUACCUAAAAAAAAUAGGGCUAAUAAGUAAUUUAGCCAAAUCAUGACUAUAGAAAUUCUUACCCUUUUAACAAGAGAGAACUUACAAAGCCAAAAGACUUGUGCAAAAGUUUGAUGGUC